Nothobranchius furzeri (turquoise killifish) is the source of this 1256-nucleotide long non-coding RNA. RefSeq lists it as uncharacterized. NCBI's taxonomy places the organism in Eukaryota, Metazoa, Chordata, Actinopteri, Cyprinodontiformes, Nothobranchiidae. The record is from RefSeq and is a predicted model, not a curated record.
CAAUGUGCUUCUAUUUUUUUCAGGCUAAAUCUACCCAAGACAUUGGCUGUCAGACUGAUUUAGCUGCAAGAAUGCACUUGUCCAGGCUGAUGUGAAGCCUUACCCGUAGCAAAGGUGAAUUAUUUUUAAUAAUCUUCUAUGUAAACAUUUUAUUAUUACCUUCUAGUUUUUAUGUGUUUUACAGAUUAUUGUUACACGUGAUUUUAUGCUCUUUUAAACAUUUAUAAAUGUGCUGCUUCUUUGUUUUUACGUAGCCAGCCAGAAUAUAGCUCACAGCCGCAGUGUGUCUUGUGACACAGAGACCAUGACGGAAAUUCAUCUUCCAGAAAGUCCCAGAGCAGCGUCCACACCCCUGAAAAGACCAAGAUGUGAGGUGUCUGCUGUUGAUUCCAGCUUCCACCUCAGUGACAGUGCAAGCUCAGUGAACUGUUCAAGGUAAAAAAAAAUUAAAACAUUUCAGAAUUUUUAAGAUAUUAACAAUUAAAUAAGUAUGUGAUUACAUCAUGACAUCAUGAAGGAGGCUACUGAUUCUGGCCCUGUGACACUUGGUGGUGACGUGUGAGCUGAUUCACCUGGACACUCAGCAAAAUAUGGACUCUACACCAUGAUGCAGGCACACGUUAAUACUCUAUAACAGCACAUAAGCAUGAGGACGUCCUCACACACCUGUAACCUAUCAGCUCAUCUGGCAGAAUAGAGAGAGAAGAGACAACACCACAUCUCCUGUUCCUGGAAAGCCUUCAGCCAUCCUUCGAUGACUGAGAACCUCCACCAGUUCUGUCUCCUGUCUGCCUACUAUUAUUAUAAUAAAUAUUGUGUUUGACAAGUUUUUUGUGCUGCCAAAUAUCUCAUUUAGAUUCCAGUUUUGAUAUUUUAAUGGAUAUUUAUAAAUUACAUUGAUUAUCACAUUGUUGCAUGUUUAACUAGCUCUAUUGUGAUGAAUUAAACUAGCACCUCACUGUUAAAAGCUCGUUUUAAUUUCAAGCAUGUUUAAGUAUUUAUGGACAUGAACAAAAACAGGAAAUAUAUAAAUUGAGAUUUAUUUAAUUAAUAUAACAAAUAAGGGGGAAAGAGUCAUUGAAAGGCACAUUCUUCCGGAAGCUCCUGAUCCUGACGACACCAGACCAGCUGCAGACACCAGAGGACCUAGAACCAAGAGAGCAGCUGUUAUCAGUAAAUAAAUAAAUCAUGGCAGUUUUAGUGGGCUGAACACAUUACAGAAUAAUUUUCUCAUCGGGUAGUUUCAUAACUUUCUA